Molecule: ribosomal RNA, 253 nt
Filed under: uncultured bacterium
Lineage: Bacteria
Description: partial 16S ribosomal RNA
Rfam family: Bacterial small subunit ribosomal RNA
Source: RNAcentral
UACGGGGGGGGCAAGCGUUGUUCGGAAUUACUGGGCGUAAAGGGCUCGUAGGCGGCCAGCUAAGUCGGAUGUGAAAUCCCCAGGCUCAACCUGGGAACUGCAUCCGAUACUGGAUGGCUUGAAUUCGGGAGAGGGAUGCAGAAUUCCAGGUGUAGCGGUGAAAUGCGUAGAUAUCUGGAGGAAUACCGGUGGCGAAGGCGGCCAGCUGGGCCGGUUCUGACGCUGAGGCGCGAAAGCGUGGGGAGCAAACAGG